AGCAAGCUUUUUGAUUGGAUUAAUCCAAACUUAAGUUGUUUUGCCAUCCUCUUCUUUUUCAUCUUCAUCUUCUUUACUUCAUCAAGUUACUGCGACCUGUGACUCGAGUGACUUCCCAUCUCUCCACCAAUUUUCCUUUUCUUCCCAUCUGAACCACUAUGCCGAAAUUCUUCUCUCUUUGAAACCUUCAAAUUCUCGCUCAAUAGCUGAUUGAAAAGCUCUUAAUUGCAAGGUUAUCCAAGUUUAUAAAUUUAAUUUUGAUUACUGCUGCUAUUCCAAAAAAAAUUUCAAUUGCAAGGUGCAUAUGAUCGUCAAGUCAGUUUGCUAAAUCUUAAUCUCUUCCAUCUACAUCAUCAUCCUCUUCGUUUCCAAUGUUCACACCUUCAAGGUACCCAAUCUUCUAAUUAAGUUUUAGUAUUUCCAUCUUCUUCUAUAUUGAUUGUUUUAAUGAUUAAGAAAGUUUUAUUUCAAAUGUUGCUUUCAUUGUUCGAUGUAGGUUUUAUUUCUCUCUAAUUAACCUAGGUUUUCAAAAUAGAAUUCAAAACCCAAUUUCUUCUUCUGCCAUGUUUAAUUUUCUGACUAUGUAUCUACUACUGGUUUGUGCCCCAAUACUAUAGGGUAUAGUUUUACUGCGAACCUUUAGACAAAAAUUUGCAUUAGUAAUUGUUAAUCUUAGGUACGUGAUUUGAAUUAGUAAUCAGAGAUACGUCCUACUCAUGUAAUUUAGUAAUUAACCAAAGCAAGUUAUUUAAAAGCUAUUGGAGUAUGUUUAUUCUUUGAAAGCUAUUAAUUCUUUCAGUUAAUUUAGUAAUUAACUGAAACUGAACCUCUGGGGUCUGAGGUGUGGUCAUUGGUCAAAUUCAAGCCCCCUAAAUUGCAGAAAUCAAGUUUUCAACCUUUUUUUUAUUCCCUUAAUUGCAUAUUAAGAAAAAUUGGUAAAAUGAUGGCAUAUUAGUUACUAACCCUUUUCUUUAAUGCAGGUGAACAUCCAAGACUUUUCCAGCUAACCAGAUUACAAGGAAGGCAUGAUUAUCUUCAUCUAUGGUCUUAUUCAAUUGAAAGUAAGUUUUUUUUUCAGUAUGAAUACUAACGUUCAUCCCCAAUUUUUAUUGAACAAAUCAAUAUUAACAUCAUUUGCAAAUCCUAUUAUGCAUAGACAAUAGUGAAUUGGGUAUGGUUUAUUUUAGAACAUUCUGACAAAGACCUUUUUUCUUUUCGUGAAUUUAGUUCAUCUUUGAUUUUGUUCAAAAAAUUUAAAUUUUUUACGAGGUUGGAAAUGGUGGCAUAUGAAUCAAACAGUUUCAUAAUUUUUCAUCAUCCUUAGAAUAGUGAAGUUUUUAUGAUCAUUAAUGUGAACAACGACUGCACAUCGACUAGAUUUUCAGAUAGUGGUUUACAACACUACUAAAUAUUAUUGGAAGGUAAUCCAUUUACAUUUGAUUGGUAGGCAAUUACAUGAUUGCAUUAUUUGAUUCAUCAUAUAGGCAAGUACGCCUAUAAUUUUGAAUUCCUGAUUCAAGUCAAUAAUUUUGAUAGCUUAAUCACUGCUUUCAAUAGAAGUAUAAAACCUUAAAAAAAAGUGCUAGCAAAUGUUAGCAAAUGAUGGUACUUAGAAUGUACUCAUUAAUAUGACAUGACUGCACAUCGACUAGAUUUUCAGAUAGUGGUUUACAACACUGCUAAAUAUUAUUGGAAGGUAAUCCAUUUACAUUUGAUUGGUAGGCAAUUACAUGAUUGCAUUAUUUGAUUCAUCAUAUAGGCAAGUACGCCUGUAAUUUUGAAUUCCUGAUUCAAGUCAAUAAUUUAGAUAGCUUAAUCACUGCUUUCAAUAGAAGUAUAAAACCUUAAAAAAAAGUGCUAGCAAAUGUUAGCAAAUGAUGGUACUUAGGAUGUACUCAUUAAUAUGACAUGAGUUUAUCAAUAUUAUCUCACUAAGUACACAUUAAUUAAUCAUUUCAGAAUACAUAAAUGUCAGAUUGGAGAAACUGUUUUCAAUUGUUUCUUUCAUACGCUUUCAAUGGUUGCAACUGGCAUAUUCUAUAAUUUUGUGUGGAGGUUUUGCGAUGUGGUUUAAGCUAGGAACUGCAAAUUCCCAGAUAGAGGACCUUUUGAUCUCAGCAUACCCUAUGAAACCAUUGAAAUUCUCUAUGCAGUCUAAAUUGUGAGAGGCUCUAGAGUCUAGAUUGAAAUCCCGAGCCAUUUAAUCUCAUUUCUAAGAAUUGUCAGGCCUGAGCACGAAGUUGAUUUUAUUGUUUUUAUAGAGACGUUAAUGAGAUAGAAUCUAAAUUUUGUUUAUCGAAGACAAUAGUUUUUUAUUGACUGUUUCACUAUGCUCAUAGAUAAUGAAGUGUAGAUUAUACUAAUUCUGUGCUUAUAGGUUCUUAUUGACUGUUCCUGCUUUGAUCCUGAUUGAAAGAUGAUUAAUGUAUUGUUGUUUGGCUAACUAAUUGUAGGUGUCUAGGCUAUUCGUGUUGCCAAGAUUGUUCAGGUGACAGUAUAACAAG
This 2504-nucleotide long non-coding RNA is filed under the name Aquilegia coerulea. RNAcentral describes it as "long non-coding RNA (ACOE_LNC002240)". The record is from RNAcentral. Lineage: Eukaryota; Viridiplantae; Streptophyta; Magnoliopsida; Ranunculales; Ranunculaceae.